UACGUAGGGGGCGAGCGUUGUCCGGAAUCAUUGGGCGUAAAGAGCUCGUAGGCGGUUCAGUAAGUCAGGUGUGAAAGCUCCGAGCUCAACUCGGAGAGGCCACCUGAUACUGCUGUGACUAGAAGUCCAGUAGGGGAGUGUGGGAACUCCUGGUGUAGCGGUGAAAUGCGCAGAUAUCGUAAGGAAGACCAGUGGCGAAGGCGAAUCUCUGGACAGUUACUGACACUGAGGCACGAAGGCCAGGGGAGCAAACGGG
This 256-nucleotide ribosomal RNA is filed under the name uncultured bacterium. RNAcentral describes it as "partial 16S ribosomal RNA". It matches the Rfam family "Bacterial small subunit ribosomal RNA", at positions 524 to 776 of the family's 1533-position model. The record is from RNAcentral.